AGUGAACGCUGGCGGUAGGCCUAACACAUGCAAGUCGAACGGCAGCACAGUAAGAGCUUGCUCUUACGGGUGGCGAGUGGCGGACGGGUGAGGAAUACAUCGGAAUCUACUUUUUCGUGGGGGAUAACGUAGGGAAACUUACGCUAAUACCGCAUACGACCUACGGGUGAAAGCAGGGGAUCUUCGGACCUUGCGCGAUUGAAUGAGCCGAUGUCGGAUUAGCUAGUUGGCGGGGUAAAGGCCCACCAAGGCGACGAUCCGUAGCUGGUCUGAGAGGAUGAUCAGCCACACUGGAACUGAGACACGGUCCAGACUCCUACGGAAGGCAGCAGUGGGGAAUAUUGGACAAUGGGCGCAAGCCUGAUCCAGCCAUACCGCGUGGGUGAAGAAGGCCUUCGGGUUGUAAAGCCCUUUUGUUGGGAAAGAAAAGCAGCAGGUUAAUACCCCGCUGUUCUGACGGUACCCAAAGAAUAAGCACCGGGUAACUUCGUG
This 492-nucleotide ribosomal RNA is filed under the name uncultured bacterium. RNAcentral describes it as "partial 16S ribosomal RNA". It matches the Rfam family "Bacterial small subunit ribosomal RNA", at positions 29 to 507 of the family's 1533-position model. The record is from RNAcentral.